Molecule: transfer RNA, 76 nt
Filed under: Marinilactibacillus psychrotolerans
Lineage: Bacteria; Bacillati; Bacillota; Bacilli; Lactobacillales; Carnobacteriaceae
Description: tRNA-Lys
Rfam family: tRNA
About the family: Transfer RNA (tRNA) molecules are approximately 80 nucleotides in length.
Source: RNAcentral
GAGACAUUAGCUCAGUCGGUAGAGCAUCUGACUUUUAAUCAGAGGGUCGCAGGUUCGAACCCUGCAUGUCUCAUCA